AACGAACGCUGGCGGCAUGCCUAACACAUGCAAGUCGAACGAGACCUUCGGGUCUAGUGGCGCACGGGUUCGUAACGCGUGGGAAUCUACCCUUGGGUUCGGAAUAACAGUUAGAAAUGACUGAUAAUACCGGAUGAUGACGUAAGUCCAAAGAUUUAUCGCCCAAGGAUGAGCCCGCGUAAGAUUGACUUGUUGGUGGGGUAAUGGCCUACCAAGGCGACGAUCUUUAGCUGGUCUGAGAGGAUGAUCAGCCACACUGGGACUGAGACACGGCCCAGACUCCUACGGGAGGCAGCAGUGGGGAAUAUUGGACAAUGGGCGAAAGCCUGAUCCAGCAAUGCCGCGUGAGUGAUGAAGGCCUUAGGGUCGUAAAGCUCUUUUACCAGGGAUGAUAAUGACAGUACCUGGAGAAUAAGCUCCGGCUAACUCCGUGCCAGCCGCCGCCGUAA
This 449-nucleotide ribosomal RNA is filed under the name uncultured bacterium. RNAcentral describes it as "partial 16S ribosomal RNA". It matches the Rfam family "Bacterial small subunit ribosomal RNA", at positions 29 to 523 of the family's 1533-position model. The record is from RNAcentral.